UACAGAGGGUGCUAGCGUUGUUCGGAAUUAUUGGGCGUAAAGGGCUCGUAGGCGGUCUGUCACGUCGGGAGUGAAAACUCAGGGCUUAACCCUGAGCCUGCUUCCGAUACGGGCAGACUAGAGGUAUGCAGGGGAGAACGGAAUUCCUGGUGUAGCGGUGAAAUGCGCAGAUAUCAGGAGGAACACCGGUGGCGAAGGCGGUUCUCUGGGCAUUACCUGACGCUGAGGAGCGAAAGUGUGGGGAGCGAACAGG
RNAcentral lists this ribosomal RNA (253 nucleotides) under uncultured bacterium. Its description in RNAcentral is "partial 16S ribosomal RNA". It matches the Rfam family "Bacterial small subunit ribosomal RNA", at positions 524 to 776 of the family's 1533-position model. The record is from RNAcentral.